Triticum urartu is the source of this 1701-nucleotide non-coding RNA. Lineage: Eukaryota; Viridiplantae; Streptophyta; Magnoliopsida; Poales; Poaceae. The record is from RefSeq and is a predicted model, not a curated record.
UCUCCCACAGCGCGGCGGCGCCCGCUCCCCCUCGCCUCUCGGGCCGCACCGGUCUCUUCCCUCACCGCGAAGCGGGCGCACGUAGGGCGUCUGCCGGCGAAUGAGGCCGCGAGCGAUCCCAUGGCGCUGCGGCGCCUGCAUCCCUCGCCUCUCCGAUCACACCGGUCUGCUGCCUAAGCACGAAGUGGGUGCAUGUAGGGCGGCCGCCGGCGAGCGAUCCCGUGGCGCUAUGGCGCCUGCAUCCCUCGCUUUUCCGAUCGCACCGGUAUGCUCCCUAAGCACGAAGUGGGUGCAUGCAGGGUGGCUGCCGGCGAACGAGACCGCGGCGCGGCGGUCUGCUCCCUGCCGGUUUGAGAUCUGCACUGGUCUCCUCCCUGCUGGCCGUUCUACGGGGAAGAUCACUGAGUACUUCGUCUAAAUCUGCUGCAAACGACCAGCACUCUGUGCCAAGAAGUGAAAGUAUUUCACCCCUCACACGUGCUCCCUGCCUCACAUGUGAUGUCAUGAAAAUGGACGGAUGUGAUAGUGAAGGAACCAGAGGGAAUGAUAUUACUGUAUCAGCAAUGGUGUUGAUACGUAGAAGAAAAUAAAAAUGAGGAAGAUACUAAAAGACACAUAGAAGUAACACAUAUGAGAAAUUCAUAUACCCAUCAUGUCUUGGAUGAGAAACAGUAUGAAAACUUCAAUGAAAAGUUCAGCACUGCCAAACCAUUUGGAAAUGCCACCAGAAAUGAAAAACAAUUAGGGGGUAGAUGCACUAGAGGAAGGAAAGAGGAGCUCCAGUUUGAUCCCAUACUUUGUGUCAUAAUUUCAUAUCGAUAAAUUCUUUUGUCUCAAUGAUUCACUAUAUAAUUCUCAUUGACGAACUUUGGGCGGUACCUUGAUGAAUUUACUUCAAAUCUUUACUAUUAAAGGGUACGUUUUGUUUUGGUAUGUUCACCUCCUUCGCUACAUGGGACCUAUCCAUCAUUUUCAUUUUCAAUAUAUUAAGUGAAGCUUUCUCUUUUUUAUUUAAUUUGAUUAUGCUAGAAAGGAGGAAUACAUAGUUUUGCUAUGUAAUAGUAUAAAUAAGAUAAGGAAGAGGGUAUUGCAACUAGCAAGGUAGCCUAUUCACAGUAUGACCGUGAACUUCCUUAAAAUAUGUAUGGUUGUUGUAUCCUACCACACUAUAAUUUUUCCAUGAUUUGUGUGCGGUUUGUAAGACUCAAAUCUUCAAAAAGCACACGUCUUUUCAUAUUGAAAAUGUACCUCUGUUGUAACUUUGACUGUCAGUCAUUCAGUUCGAGGUGAAAACACACAGAAAACUGUACUGUUAAGUGGUGUUGUCUCCUAUGCAUGGAUCAACCUGGAUGGAGGGCGGUGGAUCGGGGACGUAGCGGCAGUGGCCAGUUGAGUGCAUGAGAUUACUUUUGAAGCAAACUGCAACUUUCUUGAGGUGCCCAAUACUAAACUGGGAGGUGCUAGGAGGCUGAUGCUUAACUACAUCGGGAUGAAACUGAUAUCGAGAUAUUCAUUUUUGGGGGGAUCUUUUUGUGGUGAUGAUAGCUACCCUUGGUAUUGGAGAAGACCGAGGAGGAUAGAUAGUCAAUGGUGCAGGCUGCAUGACUUGGCCGAAGGUUGGCGCAAGUAUUCAUGGGGCCAGAGAAACGGGAGUUGGAACUUCCGAAAAAUGCUUUUAACUGACAUCUGUUGUAGCUCCAC